ACCUGGGUGGCUCAGUCGGUUAAGCGCCCGACUUGGACUCAGGUCAUGAUCUCACAGUUUGUGGGUUCGAGCCCCGUGUCAGGUU
RNAcentral lists this transfer RNA (85 nucleotides) under Felis catus (domestic cat). It matches the Rfam family "tRNA". Rfam says of the family: Transfer RNA (tRNA) molecules are approximately 80 nucleotides in length. Their secondary structure includes four short double-helical elements and three loops (D, anti-codon, and T loops). The record is from Rfam by way of RNAcentral. Lineage: Eukaryota; Metazoa; Chordata; Mammalia; Carnivora; Felidae.